RNAcentral lists this transfer RNA (75 nucleotides) under Sulfurospirillum sp. RNAcentral's name for it is "tRNA-Glu". It matches the Rfam family "tRNA". From Rfam's summary of the family: Transfer RNA (tRNA) molecules are approximately 80 nucleotides in length. Lineage: Bacteria; Pseudomonadati; Campylobacterota; Epsilonproteobacteria; Campylobacterales; Sulfurospirillaceae. The record is from RNAcentral.
GACCCCAUCGUCUAGCGGUUAGGAUCCCGCCCUUUCACGGCGGUUACAGGGGUUCAAAUCCCCUUGGGGUCGCCA